This 329-nucleotide unclassified non-coding RNA is filed under the name Hevea brasiliensis (rubber tree). Lineage: Eukaryota; Viridiplantae; Streptophyta; Magnoliopsida; Malpighiales; Euphorbiaceae. The record is from RNAcentral.
GGAUGGUUGUACUUGUUUGGUCAGCUGCAAUAGCAGAACCACACAAAAACAUUAGAACUUUUUCCACCUGUAAACAAACUAUUAAUAUAGUUUGUCCAAUCAAAUCUUAUUACAUGCUCUUAGUUUAUUUUUGUUUCUUGAUGUUUUGAAGAUUUGUUCCUCCUAACAUUAACUUUCAAAAUAUUACUCAUAACAAAAAUUACAUUUACUGCUUUUAUCUCGUUGAAUUCCAAAACUAAGGUGAAAUAUUGAAUUUUAGGUCAUACUUCAGCAUGUAAAUUAAGACGGACAGCUAGAAAAACUUACAAACUGGAACAAUAGCUAGAGCC